CCUUGAGCUUCACGGCAGGUGGAGUUCGUGAGGUAUGAACGUGGCAGGAGGGGCUGUGCAGCUUCCUGCGGGGGAGGACUUCUCGCUGCUGGGCUUUGCUCCCUGAGCACAGUGCCAGUGUCCCCUCAGGGCCUGCAGGAGUGGCGGGGACCUUGCCCGGGGACUGUCACCCACUGGCUUCCUCUGACCUCGAGUGCAAAAGUGACACACAUUCGGCCAUCGGCGGAUUUGAGCUUUCCCUUUCCCUGGAUGGGCAUGUGCAGCACGACUCCGCCAUUCUGGGAACGCAGCAAGCCAGGCUCCCGGGCAGCUCCUCGAUCCCCAGGGAAGCCCCACUCAUGUGCCAGGUGCUGCACGAACCUUCUCAUGGUGCAGUUUUUGGAGAGUGAAUAUGAAGAAUUAAUACACCUCAGCAUCAGAUACACAAGUCCUCGAUGUUUCUGUCCUCUCCCUGUCACUGCACAUGAGGACACAGCCUUCUCCUUCCGGGACAGCAGGAAUAUGAGGAGAAGCAACAGAAUUGCCAGCAGUUUCUGCAGAAGUCAGAGGCCCGAGAUGCUUGGUGUAGAAGUCUGUGUCUGUGGUGGGCAUGGUGGAGCAGCAUUUCCUUCCCGUGAUGCUGCCCCAGGCCCUGGGGACUGCAGGCUGCUCUCUUGGACACUCAAGAUCAUUGUGGCCUCUGCGCUCUGGGUGGGGAAGCUGAUGUUCACACAGCGGGUGUGGUCUCAGCCUCUUGUUCUCACCUGGUCCUCGGCUUUCCAGACAGAGCUCCCUUGUCUCAGAGUGGUCAAGCAGGCAGCCCAAAGUGGCACUGCCAGGUGGGACUGAGGUGCCCCCCUGGGGUUCGCUCUGACUGCAGCCCACUUCAGUGCUGUGGGCCCAGAGGGAAGGAAGCAAUGUCUGGAAAGUGGGGCUGGAUGUUCCACAUUUAGUAAUUAGUGAACAUUGGUGGCUCUUUAAAAACAUGAGCAGACAAAUGGCUGAUGUCACAGCUGCCUCUUCAUGUGAGUUGCUCGUUCCCCAAGGCAGUGCUCACACCCCAGGUCCCCUGCUUCCCCUUCAUGAAGCAGGAGCCCGGUGUGAUUUCUGUCCUUGGGGAAAGCCGCAGAUCCUACCUGCUGCACCAUCCUUGCUCUUUGGGCUGUCAGAGCACUGAGCACUUGGGACCAACUGAGACCCAGGUUCGUCCCUGUGGGUCUGAAGUCAAGCAAGGAGGAAGGCACCAGCCCCGAGGCCCCAGCCUCAUUUGAAGGGAGGGCCUUGGAGGGAACCUGGAGGACAGUUUAGAAAGCCACCUAUUCUUGUGCUAUUAUUUCUACUCUAGAGCAAAAAUAACCCAUAAGAUAGUGCCAUUUAUGCUAUUUGUCUUGGCCAGAAGCUAUGUAGAAAUCGUGAAAGUAGCUAAUAUGUAUAUCCCACUUUAAAAUCACACGGCCAACAUUAUAGCAGCAAUCCACAACUCUGAAUUAGAGAGAAACAAGCAGUACCAGCCUUGCAGCCGCAAGCCUCUGGUUGGACCCUCUUGCAUGCAUGAAUCUGGAUGCUCCCAGUUCUGUCUUGAAAGCGUCCUUGUCGUCCUGCUUUGUGCUCUGUACUCGUCAUUGAGGUUUAUGCGCAGUAUUCCUCGUGUCUUUCUGUUUCUGUAUGUAUUUCAGCCAAUGCAUCAUUGGCCAACUUUGCUGCAUUCUUGACUCUUCUAGUUUGCCUCUUGGUUCCAUGAGACACCUGGUGCCUCCUGCUAUGGCAGGACCUUGGGGAGCCCUGUGUGUGGUGUUCAGCUUUGGCAGAGGACAGGCUGUGUGUAUUUUGUGACACGCUCGUGGAAAGAAACAUUGUUUGCUUAAUGUUAUAGCAUCCUUAGCUUCCCAGACUAAAUCUGCAUUGUAUUUGUCUCAUUUAUGUUGCAUAGCACAGAAGACAUAGUACCAGUAUCUCAGCAAUAAAUAAGAUUUUGAGUAGGCUUUUGUGAUAUCUCAGGUUUUGGUAGCAAGGUGAGCUAGGUUCCUAAGUCCUGGCCUGGAUGAAGUGGGUCAUCAUGAGGAUCCUGUCUUCCCUGGCCCCUGAGGGCACGUGGCCCCGAGCAGGCCAGCCCUUGUGCUCCCUAGGCUGUGGACAGCCCUUCUUGCAGCCCUGUGGGCUGCUCCUUGUGGCUCUUGGUGAUGGUGUUUUCUGGGUCAGCAGUCAUGACCCUUCCUCACCAUCCUGCCCCUCACCUGGUUGUCCCUGCUGCUGCCCCUCUGCAUCCUUCCUGACCUGCCUUGGCUCAGGGACACUUCAGAGACCUGAGCUCAGCCUCUUCGUGAGCUUGGUGUCACCAGGCUUCCUGUUCUGGGCUCACAGCCCCGAGGGCCUCCGUCCACCCUGGAGCGAGCAUUUCCCAGGGCUGGGUCCAGCCACAAACCCUGCAGUCUCCUGAUGCCCAGUGAC
This is a non-coding RNA of Heterocephalus glaber (naked mole-rat), 2427 nucleotides long. The record is from RefSeq and is a predicted model, not a curated record. NCBI's taxonomy places the organism in Eukaryota, Metazoa, Chordata, Mammalia, Rodentia, Bathyergidae.